UUCCGUUGUUUCUGCACGUGUCUGCAUGAGCCAGUUGUAACAGUGUGUAAAUCAUUGUUUAUUUAUGUUUUUUAUAGGGACGGACCUGACAGGCAAAUCCUUUACUGCCUUAAAUGCAAAAAGCCAUAUGAAAACUUGUCCACUCAUAUGAGAAAGGUCUGCAUGAAAAAAGACACGGAGGAAAUGCGGAAAGAACGACUCAGGCAAGCAAAGAUAUCCCAAAAAGACUGGACCAAGGUGGCCAGAAGUUGGGAAUACGGUGAGAUCGCGGAGUUAAUGAACAGCGCAGAUCCCUGCCGUGCACUCAUUGAGAGAUUGGAGAGCAAAGGCUUUUUUGUGCUCAAUAACCCAGGACGCUCCACGGCAGAUGUCGUUACAAAUGAAAAAGAAGUGGUGAACAAUGUUCCGGGUAGCCCUGGGGAACAACAGAACCAUGUCCUGGACAGGUGAAUAUUACAUUACAUUACAUGUAUGCAUUUAGCAGAUGCUUUUAUCCAAAGCGACUUACAAACGAGGAUUAACAAUCAAGCUACAUAGAGGGAAGUGUGUAGAAGAAAGUAGUGCUGUACAGGGUGGAGAGGGUAAUGCAGGGUAAGUGCUAAGACAGGAGGUGCUCUCUAAAGAGUUGGGUCUUGAAGUUUCUUGAAGCUGGAAAGAGACACCCCUGUUCUCUUGUGUGUUCCUCAAAAAGACCAGAUCUUGAUUUCACAACUGACGAUGCUGGGACCUCUGCCACCUAUCCCCAGCAGUGCAGUGCUCUAAAUAUAAACUAAAUUCAUGUGUGUGUCACACUUCUUUUGUCAACUUUUAUAUAGCUAAAAACAUGAAUUCUGGUUAAUGAUCACUGUGGAAUUGUUUUGUGUAAACAUUUUGCAUUAUUACAAUAUUGUUUAUGUCAAAUGAUUAAAGACAUAACAAAAAUGUAUUUAUAUAGUGUUCAUAACAGCAUAAUAAUAACCACAUUCAUAAUCUCAUGUAAAAAACAAACAAGCACAAGGCACAUUUUUGGACACAUUGGGGACUGAAAUGGAUUUAAGAACCCCCUGAGAUUGAAUGUCAUCACUGAGACAUGGUGAAACACAUGGAUGCCAAUCAACAUACAUGUGUAUGAACACCAGUCAACACUAAGAUAUUACUCUGUGCUCUUCUGGGAAUACUUGAUGCAGGCAUUUCACAUAUAUUUUUUACAUCACUUUGGCUACGCAAGGCUCUGACUUGCACAACACUGACACAAUGCAACACAGGACCUCAACAAGCCCCACUCUUUAACUUUUUUUUUUUCCUAACGAGGCGCUGUUGGAUUCCCGCUGACCUACUCUAUCCCAUUAGUGUAUCGAAGGAAAACCACUUGGUAAAGGUUAGGAAGCAGUCGAGGGCCAGGAGAAGGCACUGCACCAUCCUCCCUGGAAUGUUUUACCCCCACACGUGUCGUUGAAGAUGAGGCAGGAGUAUCCAAGAGACCCGGGAGUAUGUAAUCCUCCAGGUCAAUCAACUGAUUUUCCCACCACGCUCUCAUACUCUGGAACGCCCACCACAGAUGUUUCAUUUUUAACUUCACUUUUCUACGUUUUCACUUUUUUUUGUGUGUGUGUGUGUGUGUGUGUGUGUGUGUGUGUGUGUGUGUGUGUGUGUGUGUGUUUUUCCUCCUUUUUUGUCCUUCUCCUAUAAUACAUCCAUUUCAUUACAACCCAGCUACAGUUAUUGUUUUAUGCUUUUCUUGCCAGUGCUGAACAUGACCAUAACAUGAGCUGUUUUAAAUUUGCUUUAGAAAUGACAUGUACUUAGUUGCAGCUCUUCAUCCUCUGUGGGCCACAUGAGCCAGGAAGUACUAACUGUACUUUCCCUGACCAUUCCUCUUUAAUAAUGACUGUAUAUCGCCAGGAAACAACUGUAUUGUAAUGUGGCGCUGCACAAAUGCAGUCUGUAGUCUGGAAGACAGGCCAUGAAUCUUGCAGAGUUAGGAAUGCCAUGUUCAUUCACUAAUGUAUUUUUCUCCGUUUCCAUUCUGCUAAGUGAGCCUGGUGUUGCCCCAGACACAAGUGCUGCCACAAACAUAUCACUGAGUUGCCAGAUUACAGCCAAGACCCCAUGGCUAUCCUUGACCAACAGUUCCCGCAAGAGUGCACGUAUGACACAAUCGAUUGGGAGGAGUUUUGAAACCUGUGAUGGGGCAGCUCCCCCUCCCUGAGCAGACACUUUGUGUGUGUGUGUGUGUGUGUGUGUGUGUGUGUGUGUGUGUGUGUGUGUGUGUGUGUGUGUGAUGGGGCAGCUCCACCUCCCUGAGCAGACACUUUGUGUGUGUGUGUGUGUUUCAAGUUCAAAGACCACCUGUAAGGUAGAGACUAGGGUCUGAAAUGGACAGUGUAAAACACAGGGUGCCGAGGCUCCUUCCCAACAGGGGGUGCCUACACACCUCCUGAUGAAAACAAUAGAGGUGCCGUCCUGCGAGAACAUGGGGGUUUGACCGGACUGGUAGGUGUGUCUUGGUAGGUGAGGCAAAAACAGACUGUCAAAUCAUUCAACCACUUUAUUUGAGCAGAAUGGAAGGCAGAAAAGCAACACAAAAGACCAAACAUCUGGAGUCUCUCUCACACACACACACACACUCUGCUAGACUGUGUUCUCUCUCAUAGACACAGACAGACUGUCAUUCUCAUAUACUGUCGCUAAAGGGCCCAGAGUGAAAACAUGCUAUUAAAAGAGUCAUAUGUGAUUACAUUUAUGCAU
This is a long non-coding RNA of Alosa alosa (allis shad), 2727 nucleotides long. RefSeq lists it as uncharacterized. The transcript has 3 exons. The record is from RefSeq and is a predicted model, not a curated record. NCBI's taxonomy places the organism in Eukaryota, Metazoa, Chordata, Actinopteri, Clupeiformes, Clupeidae.